This 253-nucleotide ribosomal RNA is filed under the name uncultured bacterium. Its description in RNAcentral is "partial 16S ribosomal RNA". It matches the Rfam family "Bacterial small subunit ribosomal RNA", at positions 524 to 776 of the family's 1533-position model. The record is from RNAcentral.
UACGAAGGGGGCUAGCGUUGUUCGGAAUUACUGGGCGUAAAGCGCACGUAGGCGGGUCGUUAAGUCAGGGGUGAAAUCCCAGAGCUCAACUCUGGAACUGCCUUUGAUACUGGCGACCUAGAGUCCGGAAGAGGUUAGUGGAAUUCCCAGUGUAGAGGUGAAAUUCGUAGAUAUUGGGAAGAACACCAGUGGCGAAGGCGGCUAACUGGUCCGGUACUGACGCUGAGGUGCGAAAGCGUGGGGAGCAAACAGG